AAUAUCUCAUUAAAGAAUUAGUUAAAUUUAUAACAUAAAUAUGUCAAAUUUAAAUUAUUACAUUUAGUAAUAUUCUUUU
RNAcentral lists this transfer RNA (79 nucleotides) under Meroptera pravella. RNAcentral's name for it is "tRNA-Asp". The record is from RNAcentral. Lineage: Eukaryota; Metazoa; Arthropoda; Insecta; Lepidoptera; Pyralidae.